CUUGAUAACAUAAGAGGUCCAGCCUGCCCAGUGACUCAAUUCAACGGCCGCGGUAUCCUAACCGUGCAAAGGUAGCGUAAUCACUUGUCUUCUAAAUAAAGACUAGUAUGAAAGGCACCACGAGAACUAAACUGUCUCCUUUUUCUAAUCAGUGAACCUAAUCUCCCUGUGAAAAAGCAAGGAUUUAAUAAUAAGACGAGAAGACCCUAUGGAGCUUUAAACACAUAACAAUGCCCUUUUACACCACAAUGUUCCAUGCACAAUGAUUAAAAGUUUUUAGUUGGGGUGACUACGGAGUAAACCCACCCUCCGCGAUGAAUCUUAAACAAGCGACAGCUUUAUACAUCAGCAAACUGACACCAUUGACCCAAUUUAUUGAUCAACGAAC
This 388-nucleotide ribosomal RNA is filed under the name Pristimantis zeuctotylus group sp. ABGD cluster 319. RNAcentral's name for it is "partial large subunit ribosomal RNA". It matches the Rfam family "Bacterial large subunit ribosomal RNA", at positions 1834 to 2457 of the family's 2925-position model. Lineage: Eukaryota; Metazoa; Chordata; Amphibia; Anura; Strabomantidae. The record is from RNAcentral.